This 1307-nucleotide ribosomal RNA is filed under the name metagenome. Its description in RNAcentral is "SSU rRNA". It matches the Rfam family "Eukaryotic small subunit ribosomal RNA", at positions 483 to 1783 of the family's 1831-position model. The record is from RNAcentral.
AUACCGGGCCUUUUUGGGCUUGGUAAUUGGAAUGAGGGAGAGUUAAACGGACCAUCGAGUAUCCAUUGGAGGGCAAGUCUGGUGCCAGCAGCUGCGGUAAUACCAGCUCCAAUAGCGUAUAUUAAAGUUGUUGCAGUUAAAAAGCUCGUAGUUGGACUUGUGUGCGCUGUCCGCGGGUGGCCUGCGCCCAAAAGGGCGUUUCGGUUCGGCCCCGGUGGCGCCUUGAAAUCUGCAGCUGGGAGGACGUUGGCCUUAACUGGUCGGCGACCGCACGCCGGCUGCUCGGUUACUGUGAGAAAAUUAGAGUGUUCAAGGCAGGCAUUGGGUGCAAUUGAAUACAUUAGCAUGGAAUAAUAAAAUAUGGCUCCUGCCGUAUUUUGUUGGUUUUGACUGGUGGGAGUAAUGAUUGAUAGGGACGGUUGGGGGUGCUAGUAUUGAGCGGCCAGAGGUGAAACUCAUGGAUUCGCUCAAGACUAACUUAUGCGAAAGCAUUCACCAAGGACGUCCUCUUUAAUCAAGAACGAAAGUUGGGGGAUCGAAGACGAUCAGAUACCGUCGUAGUCUCAACCAUAAACUAUGUCGACUUGGGAUCGGCGGUAGUUUUUUCAUUAAGACACUGUCGGGACCACGGGAGAAAUCAAAGUGUCUGGACUCUGGGGGAAGUAUGGUCGCAAGGCUGAAACUUGAAGGAAUUGACGGAAGGGCACCACCAGGAGUGGAGCCUGCGGCUUAAUUUGACCCAACACGGGGAAACUUACCAGGUCCAGAGAUGUAGAGGAUUGACAGAUUGAAGCUCUUUCUUGAUCACUUCGGUGGUGGUGCAUGGCCGUUCUUAGUUGGUGGAGUGAUUUGUCUGGUUAAUUCCGUUAACGAACGAGACCUCAGCCUGCUAGUGUAGUCGGCUGGAUUGCCUUUGGCGAUCCGUGAUUUCGACUUCUUAGAGGGACAAUCGACGCGCAGUCGAUGGAAGUUUGAGGCAAUAACAGGUCUGUGAUGCCCUUAGAUGUUCUGGGCCGCACGCGCGCUACACUGCUGGGCUCAGCGAGUUUUACUUGGCCGAGAGGCCCGGUUAAUCUUGUGAAAUCCCAGCGUGCUUGGGCUCGCCUCCUGCAACUGGAGGCGCCAACGAGGAAUUCCUAGUAGACGCAGGUCAUCAACCUGCAUCGAUUACGUCCCUGCCCUUUGUACACACCGCCCGUCGUUCCAUAAGAGUGAGGCAUCCGGUGAAUUCUCGGGAGAGCCUGGGCGUGGCCAGCAAUGGUCUGCUCGGGUUUGAACUUGCAUAAACUUGGUGCCUAUGAUUAGGG